GUCCCUUGAGAAGAUGAGGGUCGAACUCCUUUCAGGUGUGAAGAAGCGCAACAGAGAGACAGUCAUGGAUAAAAUGAACAGAACAUAUGCAUUGAGAAGACAAGAAGUCAUUUUUGAUGCUCCCAUGAUCAGCAAUGUACAAGAGAGAUGGCCGGCUCUUUUUUUUCCAGCGGAGGUAAUUUAAGUGCGGAAAAUGGACGGCAAUAAAUUAAAAAAAUGCAUUGACUAGUUGUGUCAUAGAUGUGUCGAUGUGUAAAGGUACUGCUUGACUUUAUUACAAUGUGUGUCCAUAUAUUGCAUAGCAGAGUCCAGAUGAAGAACCAUGCCCUGUACCUGCCAUUACUUUAAAAUAAUUUCAUGUCGUUUCAGAUAAACGCAGAGUUCAAGCGCAUCACAACCAUGCCUUUACAGUCAAGGUUUCUGUCGCGAUCAGGGGAGCAGGGCAAAAAGCAAAAAGGAUAUAAGUGCCAUGAUGACAGAUGAGAUUGAUGCUUGAAGGGAGUCCCUCAUCAAAGGACUGCGCGUCUAUCUGAAUGAAAAUCCUGACAUCUUGGUGCAGGAGCACAUGGACAUGACCGAGGCCACUGCACUGAGUGGCAUAGAGAAAACAACGGUGGGCAUUUAUGUCUCCAGAGAUGUGCCAGGCAAUGACUUUCCUGAUGUUGGCAUCAUCAUCGAGGGUGUGGUGGUUCUUCAGGAUUUGGAUAGUGUGGCCCUUGCAGUUGCCAUGUUUUUUUUACUGUUUUACUCCUUGAACAUGAUGUACCCAUCACAGCUCUGCUACACUUUUGAGGUGAUUCAGAAGGUGGUAAUGGAAUUGGAUGCAACUCAACUCUCAAGAAAAGCCCAAAAUUUAAAGACAAAACUGUUCAUGUAAGGAAAGUUCACUGUAGCUCUGCAUGUGAGAUGGUUUGCUCUCUCACUUGUUCUCCUGCAUUCUGGAGGUUCAAUAUCAACGACAAAUCAGUGUUCACUGUUGUGUACUUUGUAAAUGCCAUGUGGACAGGACCUGGUUUGUUUUUGUUUUUUCCUUUUUGCUCUCUGUUCAAGUUUUCUAAUUGGCAGCAUUUUUAGAUUUUGGUUUAUUUGUUUUUAAAAGUGAAGAAAUGUAGGGUGUUCAGCCUAAAUAGUCCCAUCAUGGCUGUGUGAAACAGCAUUUUAGGUUUGAUUCAGCUGUUGUAAGAUUGCUUUGAUGGUUUUAUGUUUUAAACCAAGAUGUUGCAGUAUGAUCAGUGCUGAAAUUUUUGAAACUAUUUUUGGAAUUUGUGAAUUUUUGAGUCACUGUAUCACUGUUAUUUCUGUGGCUCUUCAAUAAAGGUUUUUGACAUGCAAGUGGUAUUUUUUUUCUUUUUUUAGUAAUUAGGGCAAAAUGCAUAAUGUUAAUGUUAAUGAUAAGGUUAACAGGAAGGUGUUUCCCAAUCCAGUAAUUUAUUUUAGUGUUAAUGGUAACUAACAUGUCAAAUUAUUAGGGCCCGAGCACUGACAGUGCAAAGGCCCUAUUGU
This is a long non-coding RNA of Oreochromis niloticus (Nile tilapia), 1503 nucleotides long. RefSeq lists it as uncharacterized. The transcript is spliced from 3 exons. The record is from RefSeq and is a predicted model, not a curated record. Lineage: Eukaryota; Metazoa; Chordata; Actinopteri; Cichliformes; Cichlidae.